Non-coding RNA from Vibrio sp., 74 nucleotides. NCBI's taxonomy places the organism in Bacteria, Pseudomonadati, Pseudomonadota, Gammaproteobacteria, Vibrionales, Vibrionaceae. The record is from Rfam.
CGGACUGUAGCGCAGCUUGGUAGCGCACCGUCAUGGGGUGUCGGGGGUCGGAGGUUCAAAUCCUCUCAGUCCGA